AACGUUAUAUUUACAUAUAUCAUAACCGUUUAUUUGGCGUAUGCUUUACUAGAAACCAUUUGGCUUUUCAGUCAACUGGACUCGCCGUAAAAUAUUUCAAUGGUGUAACUUCACUAUUUUUACCACUUGCGAUUAGGGCAAGUUAGACAUGAAAAUUGGUUGCCCGGAAUAAAAUUCACUUGCCAAAAUUUGAAGCAAAUAAAUA
Paramuricea clavata is the source of this 205-nucleotide non-coding RNA. Lineage: Eukaryota; Metazoa; Cnidaria; Anthozoa; Malacalcyonacea; Plexauridae. The record is from the annotation of a GenBank genome assembly.